CCUCUGAUUGGGAUGCUUUCAUCACAUCUGCCUGCGAUCAUCAAUCAUGAUCUCUAUUUCUUUGCAGACUGAGAAGUAGGUGAGGUUGGAAGGACUCUUCUGGAGAUACUGUUAGCUGAAAGAAGCAAGUUUUCGCACAGAUUGAUGGAAACAGAGAUAAUCAACGAUCUUCAAAGCUGAAGCAUCUUCCGGCUCUUUGUUCUCCUGCCUUCUUUCGGGCACCGCGGGGGCCUUCAGAGUAUAAAGAUGAGCAAAUCAUGCCCAGGUGGAAGGCUUUUCACAUGCAAAUUGUCAAUAUCAUUGUGAUGUGGCAUUUUUAUUAAUCCAAACCAGCUUAUCGGACCAAAAAGAAAGAAAGAUCAUUCUGUUUCAUAUCAAACAUUUUGUUCUGACAAUGCUUUUUUGUUGCUGCUACACCACUUUGGUAAUAAAGACUGUGACAGGCUUGGAUUCCUCCUUCUGAUGGCAAAAAUCCCUGAGAAGAGAAAAUCAAUGAGGGUUUUAGCUCCAUCCAAGGAAAAUAAGGGCUUUUCCUUUCAGCCUAUGAGAUGAGGAGUGGGGAUGCUUUCUGAGGCAAUUCAGCAGGGAGCAGGCCACAAAGUCUUGAACCCUUCUGAUGUGGCUAAAUUCAGAUUCACCAACAUUAGGCCAUCUCCCAAGGUCUCAGCUAGGGCUGUCUCAGUGGUAUGCCUUUAAAGUAACCAUAUUCACUUCCCCGUGCCUAGGACACAUUAAUUUCUCCAGCAUUUGGGAGUCCUUUAAUAAGACCCCUGGUUCCUGCAGGAGGGGGGUGAAUGUACUUUAAUAUUGGACCUGGCUGCUUUGGAAUCUGGCUGGAAAAUUGUUACCCAAGGGCAAAUAAAGCCUGCAAGCUGCUUGGUUAUUACUAGUGUUCCUCCAUCAACAUGCAAAGGGGCUGUGGACUUUGUGCCGGAGUCAUACCCCCAAUACCUUGCCAUGGGCUAUGCAGCAAGAAGGUGGAGAGCAUUGAACCUACAGCAUCGGCAUCCUUCCCUCCUGCUGAUGAACAUACUGGGGAUGAAAAGACAUCGCACCCCUUGACAGCUGCCUGCCCAUCACCACAGGAACCACCGUUUCAUUGGAGAAAGCACCUGGAGGCCGUCUCCUUGCCAGUAAUGGGGCAAUGAAACGUCGCGACCCUGGUUAGUCCAGGCUCCCAUCCAUCAUGCCUGUUUAUCCCGUCAGAGCACUGUUUAGCUGUAUAAAAUGGGCUGUAAACUUUGUUCACUUUGGCUGACAGCUAUGAUAAAGGCUGUGUGCAUUUUACAGCCUCACGAGUUGGGAGGAGAAAGGUCCCCCGAGACCUCCCGCUGCUCCGGGUCCCAUCAUCUGUCAUGGCAUGGGAACGACCCAGUGGUCAUCUUCUCCAGCCCCCCUUCGCUCGGUCAGGUGCCGCUACCAUUCUUGGUGACAGAUUAAAAACAUAACAUAUUACUCUACCACAACAGUCUAUUUUCGACAGUUUGCUCUCAUCUUCCUGCAACCCAUCUUACAAAUGAGACAUAAAAUUGAGGCUCCGGAUGCUUAUGGACCCAAUCCUGCAGCAUUUAUGCACCUGUUUAAGUUGAAUCAUGUGAGGAUUCGCAGGGGAUUGAACGAGGGGAAUGCCUAAUACUUGAGGAACUAUGGCAAUUGCUCCAAAGCAGUUUGCAGUUCUUCAGGAUAAAGAGCCAUGCAUAAAACUAGGAUGCAUUAUCUUCUCCUCCACCAAUUCUGUCCGGAAUGCUCUAAAGGAUGGACUCAGAGCAAAAGCAGGAUAAAAUGUACUUGCCUGCAGUCAGUACCUCUUACACUCAUUUCUUGCUAUCCCUAGCGUAAGACUCCUGGUAGAGCAGAAGUUGGCUGUCAGCAGUGCAACAAAAUGCAACAAAAUCACCAGGUUUUCACUAUGGAGUUGCAUUUGGUGAUGUUACAAAGCCUCGUUAAUUGAUUACAACAUGAUUCAGCAAGCUGCGCUCUUCCUGAGUCUUCUCCAUAGCUUGCUGCCCCUCCAUUCAAAAUCCGGCUGUGCUCCAAGGGUCUGGUCCCCGUGUUUGAAGCCCGAGCAGCUGAAGAAUGACCUUUCUCUCUGACCUACAUCUUUCAUAGGAAUAAAGCAACAGAUGAUACCAAGUACAGGAUUCACAGAGCUCUUUGUGCGAGCCCCUACAGCGGAGCUCCCCAGUGAAGGGCAUCAAGCUUAACUCUCAGCUCACCCUGCAAGGAGGCUUUUUCAUUCCGCUUAAUAGCAGCAUUUCCACCGACUUAUGCAGGAGCACAGUCAAAUCCCAGCAUGUCUUUUAACACCAGCUACUCCUUGGCAGAAGGAGCAUCUCGGCAAAUUGGACAUCCCUGCCUCCUGCGAGAGGUUUCUUCCAGGCAAACCCACUCCCAUCACACGCAGAACGAUUCCCCACUUUUUGCUCAGCCCCCGUUGGGCUUUCUCUUCCUGCACGUCGCCACCGUGAUUGGCAACCGAAGCAGAAAGAUCAGACAAAAGAAGGCUGAGGCACCACCUGGGACAGAGCUGAAAGAGAUGCAGGAGCAGAUAUCUCCAUCUGCCUUCUCGAUGCUUUGUGAGGCCGGGACGCCAGCUGCGGUGUGGUGCUCCCGGAUCCCAGGGGACUGCUGCUCUGCCCCGCUGCAUCUCGGGAAGCCCCGAUGGCAGCGGCAGCACCCCCAAGGUCACCUUCCUCAUCCUCAGGCUGGUCACACUGCUGCCAGACUCCAGAGUAUGGUGAGCUGGAGGAGUCCAGAAAGGGUAAAACAGAAGGACAAUGAGUGUUUUAUCGGAUGUACGCAGAAGGUAAAUUUUGGGGCUACUUACUGUACCUAAAAUCACUUUCUCUCCAGGGGCCUGAAUGUGUUCUAUUAGAAAAUCUGCAUAUGAGCCUGUAAAUUUGCCAUAUAUACUGUAGUGUAAUAGUACCAGACUCACCUAUGUUGUAUUUUUUACCUAUAAAUGUGACAGUGACAUGCUUAUCUCCUCUUUCUACAAGAGUUUCACAAAUCCCCAGGAAAGCAAACCUCCCGCAACCUUCUCCCAUUUGAUCCAGAUAAAGAGGAAAGUCCUCCACGGAGGGCAUGAACAUGAAACCCACGUUAGGCACCCAGGAGCAUAGGGACACGCUCAGCCCCACCGCAAAGCACCUCGGCACCACUGCUAGGAAUCGCAGGAUGCGACCGACAGCCCUCCCAUGCCCUGAGCAUCGCACUUCUGUGUUGAUGCAAAAAGCCACGCACAAAAGGGAAAAUGGCAGCUUUCCAAGUGGCCCCAGUUAAUAGCUCUGUUUUGCUUAAUGGUGCCUCCCAUUCAGACUAAAGAUGCUGUUUUAAAUAUGUAAGCAAUUAGUAUCUCUCUCUCUCUCAGCAACACAUCUGUGCUUCUUCUAUCUGCUGCAUUACAAAUCUGCUGCGUCCCUCUCCAGCUCGGCGGCGCGUGUAUCGCCAGAUAUCCUGGUCUUCAGCAACUUUCUGGGCUGCAGGAAUUACAGCUGGCUGCCGAGGUGCUCCUGCCUGGCCCUGCCUAAGCCUUCGGCACUGCCGUCCUCUCCUCAGCUGGUGCUGAGCUGACAUGUAAUAGGGGUGCAGGGAAAGGGACCUUUUGGUCUGGUUUUGGCCAUUCUUUGGUCCAGCCUGAUGUUUUUUCCUUCUUCCUAGCUGCCACUUUCACACACUUUUGUCUCCUUUUCUGGAGAGGAGCCGCAGCCUUUUCUCUCCGUACCAAACUGCAGGUUGCCCACAGGAGCGUGGCCAGGACGCACCCAGGGGUUUCUGCU
Oxyura jamaicensis (ruddy duck) is the source of this 3779-nucleotide long non-coding RNA. RefSeq lists it as uncharacterized. Lineage: Eukaryota; Metazoa; Chordata; Aves; Anseriformes; Anatidae. The transcript has 5 exons. The record is from RefSeq and is a predicted model, not a curated record.